RNAcentral lists this ribosomal RNA (233 nucleotides) under uncultured bacterium. Its description in RNAcentral is "partial 16S ribosomal RNA". It matches the Rfam family "Bacterial small subunit ribosomal RNA", at positions 15 to 237 of the family's 1533-position model. The record is from RNAcentral.
GAUCAUGGCUCAGGAUGAACGCUAGCGACAGGCUUAACACAUGCAAGUCGAGGGGCAUCAUGGUAAGUAGCAAUACUUAUUGAUGGCGACCGGCGCACGGGUGAGUAACGCGUAUGCAACUUACCUAUCAGAGGGGGAUAGCCCGGCGAAAGUCGGAUUAAUACUCCAUAAAACAGGGGUUCCGCAUGGGACUAUUUGUUAAAGAUUCAUCGCUGAUAGAUAGGACAUGCGUU